AAAAGAACAACAACAAAAACAAAAACUUAAAAACCUUUUGGCAGUUCUUUUGGUUUUUCUACUUCCGCCUUUCUUUUCUUUUAUUCUUG
This 89-nucleotide non-coding RNA is filed under the name uncultured eukaryote. The record is from RNAcentral.